Molecule: ribosomal RNA, 377 nt
Filed under: uncultured bacterium
Lineage: Bacteria
Description: bacterial SSU rRNA
Rfam family: Bacterial small subunit ribosomal RNA
Source: RNAcentral
AACGAACGCUGGCGGCAUGCCUAACACAUGCAAGUCGAACGAGACCUUCGGGUCUAGUGGCGCACGGGUGCGUAACGCGUGGGAACCUGCCUUUAGGUUCGGAAUAACUCAGAGAAAUUUGAGCUAAUACCGGAUAAAUGUCUUCGGACCAAAGAUUUAUCGCCUUUAGAUGGGCCCGCGUUGGAUUAGCUAGUUGGUGGGGUAAAGGCCUACCAAGGCGACGAUCCAUAGCUGGUCUGAGAGGAUGAUCAGCCACACUGGGACUGAGACACGGCCCAGACUCCUACGGGAGGCAGCAGUGGGAAUAUUGGACAAUGGGCGAAAGCCUGAUCCAGCAAUGCCGCGUGAGUGAUGAAGGCCUUAGGGUUGUAAAGCUC